UACGUAGGGGGCGAGCGUUAUCCGGAAUUAUUGGGCGUAAAGGGUUCGCAGGCGGCCUUGUAAGUCAGAUGUGAAAGACAGCGGCUUAACCGUUGUAAGCAUUUGAAACUGCAGGGCUUGAGUACAGGAGAGGAAAGCGGAAUUCCUAGUGUAGCGGUGAAAUGCGUAGAUAUUAGGAGGAACACCAGUGGCGAAGGCGGCUUUCUGAACUGAUACUGACGCUGAGGAACGAAAGCGUGGGGAGCAAACAGGAUUAGAUACCCUGGUAGUCCCU
Molecule: ribosomal RNA, 274 nt
Filed under: uncultured prokaryote
Description: partial 16S ribosomal RNA
Rfam family: Bacterial small subunit ribosomal RNA
Source: RNAcentral